Molecule: non-coding RNA, 93 nt
Organism: Acanthosepion pharaonis
Lineage: Eukaryota; Metazoa; Mollusca; Cephalopoda; Sepiida; Sepiidae
Source: the annotation of a GenBank genome assembly
UUGCAUCCAUAUCACGCUGAAACACCAGUUUCCCUCCGAUCACCGAAGUUAAGUAAGGUCGAACCUGGUCAGUACCUAGAUGGGUGACCGCUU